ACCGGAAACGGUAGCUAAUACCGAAUAGUUGUUUUCUUCUCCUGAAGAGAACUGGAAAGACGGAGCAAUCUGUCACUUGGGGAUGGGCCUGCGGCGCAUUAGCUAGUUGGUGGGGUAACGGCUCACCAAGGCGACGAUGCGUAGCCGACCUGAGAGGGUGAUCGGCCACACUGGGACUGAGACACGGCCCAGACUCCUACGGGAGGCAGCAGUAGGGAAUCUUCCGCAAUGGGCGAAAGCCUGACGGAGCAAUGCCGCGUGAGUGAUGAAGGUUUUCGGAUCGUAAAGCUCUGUUGCCAGGGAAGAACGCUUGGGAGAGUAACUGCUCUCAAGGUGACGGUACCUGAGAAGAAAGCCCCGGCUAACUACGUGCCAGCAGCCGCGGUAAUACGUAGGGGGCAAGCGUUGUCCGGAAUUAUUGGGCGUAAAGCGCGCGCAGGCGGUCAUUUAAGUCUGGUGUUUAAUCCCGGGGCUCAACCCCGGAUCGCACUGGAAACUGGGUGACUUGAGUGCAGAAGAGGAGAGUGGAAUUCCACGUGUAGCGGUGAAAUGCGUAGAUAUGUGGAGGAACACCAGUGGCGAAGGCGACUCUCUGGGCUGUA
RNAcentral lists this ribosomal RNA (602 nucleotides) under uncultured bacterium. RNAcentral describes it as "bacterial SSU rRNA". It matches the Rfam family "Bacterial small subunit ribosomal RNA", at positions 149 to 738 of the family's 1533-position model. The record is from RNAcentral.